This 381-nucleotide long non-coding RNA is filed under the name Gossypium raimondii (Peruvian cotton). Its description in RNAcentral is "long non-coding RNA (GRAI_LNC003986)". Lineage: Eukaryota; Viridiplantae; Streptophyta; Magnoliopsida; Malvales; Malvaceae. The record is from RNAcentral.
UAAUAUUGUUUGUAAACUUAUAUUAGAAUGAGCCUACUGGUUCGAGUGGUAAGGAGUUAGCUUGCUGGAGAUCUUGUGUUUGAAUCUCUAUGCGAGUGUGGGUGUUAAUUUUUUUUCCGGACAUCUGUUAGAGGUUCGGUGGAGUUGGGAGUCUGAAGUAGUUGUAUAUGGUUGGUAGGGAGGAUAUUAUGGGAUAUGGUUGUUAAUGGGGAGUGGAGAUGUUAAUCAAAAUCAAAUUGAUUAUCUUUUUAUUUUAUUUUAUUUUAUUUUUUUCAAAAUUUUUCUCUCUCUUCCCAAAAGUCUGACGUUAGUUUUCUCUUUUUUCUACCACAUUCUUCUUCCUCUUCUUUUUCCUGCAAUUCUGUCUAUAAUCUACUGUCG